RNAcentral lists this ribosomal RNA (401 nucleotides) under uncultured bacterium. RNAcentral's name for it is "bacterial SSU rRNA". It matches the Rfam family "Bacterial small subunit ribosomal RNA", at positions 362 to 759 of the family's 1533-position model. The record is from RNAcentral.
UUUUGGACAAUGGGCGCAAGCCUGAUCCAGCAAUGCCGCGUGCAGGAAGAAGGCCUUCGGGUUGUAAACUGCUUUUGUACGGAACGAAACGGUCCUGGUUAAUACCUGGGGCUAAUGACGGUACCGUAAGAAUAAGCACCGGCUAACUACGUGCCAGCAGCCGCGGUAAUACGUAGGGUGCAAGCGUUAAUCGGAAUUACUGGGCGUAAAGCGUGCGCAGGCGGUUUUGUAAGACAGGCGUGAAAUCCCCGGGCUUAACCUGGGAAUGGCGCUUGUGACUGCAAAGCUGGAGUGCGGCAGAGGGGGAUGGAAUUCCGCGUGUAGCAGUGAAAUGCGUAGAUAUGCGGAGGAACACCGAUGGCGAAGGCAAUCCCCGGGCCUGCACUACGCUCAUGCGGAAG